Molecule: ribosomal RNA, 865 nt
Filed under: Pelicinus sp. Oon372
Lineage: Eukaryota; Metazoa; Arthropoda; Arachnida; Araneae; Oonopidae
Description: SSU rRNA
Rfam family: Eukaryotic small subunit ribosomal RNA
Source: RNAcentral
UGCAUGUCUAAGUACUUGCCGCUAACAGGCGAAACUGCGAAUGGCUCAUUAAAUCAGUUAUGGUUUCUUAGAUCGUACUUUACUACUUGGAUAACUGUGGUAAUUCUAGAGCUAAUACAUGCAGCAGAGCUCCGACCCCUCGGGGAACGAGCGCUUUUAUUAGACCAAGACCAAUCGGGCCUAGUGUCCGUUGUAUGUGGCGACUCUGUAUAACUUUGGGCUGAUCGCACGGGCUUGUCCCGGCGACGCAUCUUUCAAGUGUCUGCCUUAUCAACUGUCGAUGGUAGGUUAUGCGCCUACCAUGGUUGUAACGGGUAACGGGGAAUCAGGGUUCGAUUCCGGAGAGGGUGCCUGAAAAACGGCAACCACAUCCAAGGAAGGCAGCAGGCGCGCAAAUUACCCACUCCCGACACGGGGAGGUAGUGACAAAAAAUAACAAUACGGGACUCUUAUGAGACCCCGUAAUUGGAAUGAGUACACUCUAAAUCCUUUCACGAGGAACUAUUGGAGGGCAAGUCUGGUGCCAGCAGCCGCGGCAAGUCCAGCUCCAAUAGCGUAUAUUAAAGUUGUUGCGGUUAAAAAGCUCGUAGUUGGAUCUCAGUUCCAGACGGCAGGUCUAUCUAACGAUGGCUACCUGCUGUACUGAACAACCAGUCGGUUUCCCUCGAUGAUCUUCACCGGUUGUCUUGGGUGACCGACACGUUUACUUUGAAAAAAUUAGAGUGCUCAAAGCAGGCGCGACGCCUGAAUAAUGGUGCAUGGAAUAAUGGAAUAGGACCUCGGUUCUGUUUUGUUGGUUUUAGGAGCUCGAGGUAAUGAUUAAGAGGGACAGACGGGGGCAUUCGUAUGCGACGCUAGAGGGAAA